Molecule: ribosomal RNA, 625 nt
Filed under: uncultured fungus
Lineage: Eukaryota; Fungi
Description: eukaryotic LSU rRNA
Rfam family: 5.8S ribosomal RNA (bases 165-316)
Source: RNAcentral
UCCGUAGGUGAACCUGCGGAAGGAUCAUUAACACUAAUCCAAUUCACCUUAACCAAGCCUUCAGUGCAGUAAUAGUGCUAGUCAGGGAAACUUGGCCGGCAUUGUUACCGCUCUACAAAACUAAUCAUCCAAAGGAGCCUAACUAAGCUUAACCAAUAAUAUCAAAUUCUCAACGAUGGAUAUCUUGGUUCCCAUAACGAUGAAGAACGCAGCGAAGUGCGAUAAGCAGUGCGAAUUGCAGAACCGUGAGUCAUCAGAUUUUUGAACGCAACUGGCGCCGAUUGGCUAUCCAGUCGGCAUGCUUGUUUCAGUGUCUUAUUUUCUCAUCACCCAAAUCUUAAUGCGAGAGAUACCCUUCUCUUGUCAAGUACGAAAGCACUCUGAGCCCUGCAGAGUGGCUUGGCUUCGGUCAAGGCCACACUCAAUGCAGCAGUCACAUUCAUCUAAUGUGAACUCAUUGAGAGUAGAGUCAGCGCAGUUUACUGCUAGUGCUUAGAGCCUUUUAAAACUCUUCUUGUAUCUGGAAAUCAAGGCAGGGGACCACCCGGCUGGAACUUAAGGCAUAUCAAUAAGGCGGGGAGGGGAAGGUCGGACUGGCCAAGGGGGCACACAGGGGGGGGGGAUA